RNAcentral lists this ribosomal RNA (909 nucleotides) under Toxomerus virgulatus. RNAcentral's name for it is "eukaryotic LSU rRNA". It matches the Rfam family "Eukaryotic large subunit ribosomal RNA", at positions 120 to 931 of the family's 3401-position model. The record is from RNAcentral. Lineage: Eukaryota; Metazoa; Arthropoda; Insecta; Diptera; Syrphidae.
UUUUGCCUUAAUGGUAAAUAUGGGAUGCAGUGUAUGGAACAUCAAUAAUCUAGUAUGAAAAAUUAACGAUUUAAGUCCUUCUUAAAUGAGGCCAUUUACCCAUAGAGGGUGCCAGGCCCGUAUAACGUUAAUGAUUAUUAGAAGGUGUUUCCAAAGAGUCGUGUUGCUUGAUAGUGCAGCACUAAGUGGGUGGUAAACUCCAUCUAAAACUAAAUAUAACCAUGAGACCGAUAGUAAACAAGUACCGUGAGGGAAAGUUGAAAAGAACUCUGAAUAGAGAGUUAAAUAGUACGUGAAACUGCUUAGAGGUUAAACCCGAUGAACCUGAAUAUCCAUUAUGGAAAAUUCAAUACUAAUAAAGUAGUGUGCAAUUUUUCCAUAUAAGGACAUUGUAAUCUGUUAAUGUAAUAAUUAUUUAUCAAAAGAUUCUUUACUUAAGUUUAUUCAAAUUCAACAUAAAAUAAAUGUAUUGAAUUGGAUAAAUCAUUGACAGAUAUAAUUAUAUAAUGUGCUCAAAUUCUAUGGAAUUUUACAAUGUUGUCUGCACUAUUAUGAUUAACAAUGCGAUAGAUUCAGGAUACCUUCGGGACCCGUCUUGAAACACGGACCAAGGAGUCUAACAUAUGUGCAAGUCAUUGGGUAUUUAUAAUAAAACCCAAUGGCAUAAUUAACUUAACUUUAGGGAUUAGUUUAUAUUUAUUCAAUCCCGGGGCGUUCUAUAUAGUUAUGUAUAAUGGUAUUUAUAUUAUUUAUACCUCUAACUAGAGCGUACCUUGAGCAUAUAUGCUGUGACCCGAAAGAUGGUGAACUAUACUUGAUCAGGUUGAAGUCAGGGGAAACCCUGAUGGAAGACCGAAACAGUUCUGACGUGCAAAUCGAUUGUCAGAAUUGAGUAUAGGGGCGAAAGAC